GGAAUAUUGCACAAUGGGGGAAACCCUGAUGCAGCGACGCCGCGCGAAGGAAGAAGUAUUUCGGUAUGUAAACUUCUAUCAGCAGGGAAGAAAAUGACGGUACCUGAGUAAGAAGCCCCGGCUAACUACGUGCCAGCAGCCGCGGUAAUACGUAGGGGGCAAGCGUUAUCCGGAUUUACUGGGUGUAAAGGGAGCGUAGACGGUAAUGCAAGUCUGGAGUGAAAUGCAGGGGCUCAACCCCUGAACUGCUUUGGAAACUGUAUGACUAGAGUGCAGGAGAGGUAAGUGGAAUUCCUAGUGUAGCGGUGAAAUGCGUAGAUAUUAGGAGGAACACCAGUGGCGAAGGCGGCUUACUGGACUGUAACUGACGUUGAGGCUCGAAAGCGUGGGGAGCAAAC
This 398-nucleotide ribosomal RNA is filed under the name uncultured bacterium. RNAcentral describes it as "bacterial SSU rRNA". It matches the Rfam family "Bacterial small subunit ribosomal RNA", at positions 358 to 773 of the family's 1533-position model. The record is from RNAcentral.